Non-coding RNA from Schistosoma mansoni, 48 nucleotides. The record is from Rfam. Lineage: Eukaryota; Metazoa; Platyhelminthes; Trematoda; Strigeidida; Schistosomatidae.
AUUCAGCUGAAGAGUCCCAAAUAGGACGAAAUGGCGCGCGUCCUGAAU